GCUUUGCACUCUCUAUAAGUAUUAAGGACUGGGGGGUUUAGUACUCCAGCCAUAGUAUGUAUAGACAGUCAGACGUACAAGUAAAGUUGGACUUGGAAUUGGGUCAAUCUGUGAAGGGGACAGUAUCGCUCUUAUAGGGCCCUCUAUAGAUUGGCCUCAAUUUUGGGUCCAAUCCGUAGGAGGUGAAUCAUGGGUGGUUUCCACCGGACAACAGAUUGGCCAUAUUCCUACUUGCACUCUACAUAGUAUGCAGACCGAGUCUAGAGUAUGCCUGGGUUCCAAGUUGAACUUAGAGCAUACUUUGGGCUCGGUUUGCUGUAUGUGCGACUUUGGCUCAGUCAGGUCAAAAGGACACUUUGUGGUAUACUUUC
Molecule: unclassified non-coding RNA, 371 nt
Filed under: Apiotrichum scarabaeorum
Lineage: Eukaryota; Fungi; Basidiomycota; Tremellomycetes; Trichosporonales; Trichosporonaceae
Description: partial miscellaneous RNA
Source: RNAcentral